UUUCCGUAGGUGAACCUGCGGAAGGAUCAUUAACACUAAUUGAUCACACAUCCCUUUUACCUUACACACACACCAGUACGAACUGUAGUAUUUUUUUAAUCUUUCGUCUGUUUACCUUCAAGAGCCAAGCCUUUCUAGGGCUGAGCUUUCAGCUUUUGAGCUUAGCCCUUUUCGGGAGUCACUAAGCGGAGAAGCUGAAGUGGAGCUGAAGUAAGGCUCUCUUGAGCUUUUUUUUUCAAAACACCUUUUAACCCCAAUUUGGUUAAAAAAAACAAAAUAAAUAUAAAAAAAAAAUAAAUAAUUAUAAACAUUAUUAAAAAAAAACAAUAAGAGAAACAACUCUUAACAAUGGAUAUCUUGGUUCUC
Molecule: unclassified non-coding RNA, 366 nt
Filed under: plant metagenome
Description: partial contains small subunit ribosomal RNA, internal transcribed spacer 1, and 5.8S ribosomal RNA
Source: RNAcentral